UCUUAGCUCAGUUGGUAGAGCAGCGGACUCUUAAUCCGUAGGUCGAGUGUUCGAGUCACUCAGG
RNAcentral lists this transfer RNA (64 nucleotides) under Acidovorax temperans. It matches the Rfam family "tRNA", at positions 6 to 65 of the family's 71-position model. Rfam says of the family: Transfer RNA (tRNA) molecules are approximately 80 nucleotides in length. Their secondary structure includes four short double-helical elements and three loops (D, anti-codon, and T loops). Lineage: Bacteria; Pseudomonadati; Pseudomonadota; Betaproteobacteria; Burkholderiales; Comamonadaceae. The record is from RNAcentral. RNAcentral also lists the same sequence under 4 other names.